GGAUGCGAUCAUAUCAGCACUAAAGCACCGGAUCCCAUUAGACUCUGAAGUUAAGCGUGCUUGGGCGAGAGUAGUAUUAGGAUGGGUGACCUCCUGGGAGGUCCUCGUGUUGCAUUCC
Molecule: ribosomal RNA, 118 nt
Filed under: Aegilops tauschii subsp. strangulata
Lineage: Eukaryota; Viridiplantae; Streptophyta; Magnoliopsida; Poales; Poaceae
Source: RNAcentral